Molecule: ribosomal RNA, 468 nt
Filed under: uncultured bacterium
Lineage: Bacteria
Description: partial 16S ribosomal RNA
Rfam family: Bacterial small subunit ribosomal RNA
Source: RNAcentral
GACGAACGCUGGCGGCGUGCUUAACACAUGCAAGUCGAACGGUGAAGCUCCAGUUUGCUGGAGUGGAUCAGUGGCGAACGGGUGAGUAACACGUGAGCAACCUGCCCCUGACUCUGGAAUAAGCGCUGGAAACGGCGUCUAAUACUGGAUACGAGAAGGGUCCGCAUGGGCACUUUCUGGAAAGUUUUUCGGUUGGGGAUGGGCUCGCGGCCUAUCAGCUUGUUGGUGAGGUAAUGGCUCACCAAGGCGACGACGGGUAGCCGGCCUGAGAGGGCGACCGGCCACACUGGGACUGAGACACGGCCCAGACUCCUACGGGAGGCAGCAGUGGGGAAUAUUGCACAAUGGGCGAAAGCCUGAUGCAGCGACGCCGCGUGAGGGAUGACGGCCUUCGGGUUGUAAACCUCUUUCAGCAGGGAAGAAGCGAAAGUGACGGUACCUGCAGAAGAAGCACCGGCUAACUACGUG